UACGUAGGUGGCAAGCGUUGUCCGGAUUUACUGGGCGUAAAGAGCGCGCAGGCGGUCGGAUAAGUCGAAUGUGAAAGCCCCCGGCUCAACUGGGGAGGGUCAUUCGAUACUGUUCGACUGGAAGGCAGGAGAGGGAAGCGGAAUUCCCGGUGUAGUGGUGAAAUGCGUAGAUAUCGGGAGGAACACCAGUGGCGAAGGCGGCUUCCUGGCCUGUUCUUGACGCUGAGGCGCGAAAGCUAGGGGAGCAAACGGG
Molecule: ribosomal RNA, 253 nt
Filed under: uncultured bacterium
Lineage: Bacteria
Description: partial 16S ribosomal RNA
Rfam family: Bacterial small subunit ribosomal RNA
Source: RNAcentral